AUGUGAAGUGCUGGAACAACCAGAGAAAGAUACGAUCCUAGCAAUGAGAUACUUCCCUACCACCACUGUUGGGUAUGUCUUUCCAGACAAGACCAGAAGCCUCUUAUACAUGGUGAAUCCCACAGCGCAAAGGCUGUCCUCCUCCAGAACCUGUAUCAGUGUUAUAAAGUGCAAAAUGUUGCGCUUAGAGGGGUUGCAGAAGUUGAAUGAGGCAGAAUAUUGCAGAAAGAGAAAGAAAGAUCUCAAGAUCAAGAACACUUGAAGGCUGUUAGAUAUUUCCUGAUAUCCACCAAAGAUCUUUCUAUAGGCUUUUAUUGUCUGUGGAAAGUCACCAGACACAAUAUUGAUGGAUAACAGUAGAACACUUUAUUAAAGAACAAAUUGGAUUUAGAACAAAGUUACCUAAUGGAUUGCUUGAAUGUGCUACUGAAAGCCGGCCGAGACCUGGAGGUGGUCAUACAGAUGUCUUGCUAUUUGGAGACACCAUGCCUGGGGCCAAAAAUGGGUAUACCGUUUCUCAGAUGGCAGCAAUCUCAGAUGCAGAGAUUAAAGGAAACUAAGUUUGCCCAGGAUAUUAUAAUACUAGCUGACAGUUCAGAAUC
Long non-coding RNA from Cygnus olor (mute swan), 602 nucleotides. RefSeq lists it as uncharacterized. The record is from RefSeq and is a predicted model, not a curated record. The transcript has 3 exons. Lineage: Eukaryota; Metazoa; Chordata; Aves; Anseriformes; Anatidae.